Long non-coding RNA from Polypterus senegalus (gray bichir), 852 nucleotides. RefSeq lists it as uncharacterized. The record is from RefSeq and is a predicted model, not a curated record. The transcript is spliced from 3 exons. NCBI's taxonomy places the organism in Eukaryota, Metazoa, Chordata, Cladistia, Polypteriformes, Polypteridae.
GAUUUUGCAUGCUCUUCCUUUGACUGUUUUGGUUUGUAUACUCUGGUUUUCUCCCAUGUCCCCAAAACAUGCAGGAGUUGCCAAACCAAGGAAAACAGGGGGUUACAAACCAUGUGCAUUAUUGCAGAGUAUUGCAGCAUAUCUGGUCAGCAGGCUGUAGAUACCAAGGUCAGUGCACUGUUAAGCUCUGUUGGGCUGUUUAUUUUGGCAGGAAGGGAUCUCACUGUGAGGUUUUUGCUCCUACUACCUAGUCUGUCCUGCUACUGAACUGGCAGAUUUGUUUCAGUAUUUAAGCUGUCUUCAAAAUCCAAAAGACAUUGGAGGAUGCAGGAGACAUUGUGUCAGAUAGGAGUAGUACCACCAAUAAGAUUGUCACUGGAUUGCAUCCAUGUCUCACAACAAUAUAGGAAAAUAGGAAGCACCGGGACUCUAAAGACUUGGACCUUUGUCCUUUUGCAAAGAUGUCGGGAGUGCCACACAUUUGCCAGAGACCUCAUAACCCCCAAUGAUCUUCCAAUCUGUCUACUGACUUCAUAGAAAGAGUCACCAAAGACAUGAAUGUUGCUGCUGAGACUGGCAGACUGACAACCAUGACAGCUCUGACGUCACUUCUGGUUUCCAUCCACCUGGACCCACCUCUUCCUCCCAGGACCUUUAUCACUUGAAGCAAUGUCAUUUUGAUCAAUCUUAUGGAGACUUGCGUCACAACUUUUUUUUCUUUUCUAGGCACACUAUGCCACACGUUUUAUUGUGAAUGUAUGGGGUUGGCCCUCAUGGUGCCAUGUGUAUGUGAUAUAUAUACAGUGAUCCCUCGCUAUAUCGCGCUUCGGCUUCACUCCAUCGCGGAUUUUA